Molecule: ribosomal RNA, 254 nt
Filed under: uncultured bacterium
Lineage: Bacteria
Description: partial 16S ribosomal RNA
Rfam family: Bacterial small subunit ribosomal RNA
Source: RNAcentral
UACGGGGGGAGCAAGCGUUGUUCGGAUUUACUGGGCGUAAAGGGCGUGUAGGCGGCCAGCACAAGUCAGUUGUGAAAUCUCCGAGCUUAACUCGGAAAGGUCAACUGAUACUGUGCGGCUAGAGUGCGGAAGGGGCAACUGGAAUUCUUGGUGUAGCGGUGAAAUGCGUAGAUAUCAAGAGGAACACCUGCGGCGAAGGCGGGUUGCUGGGCCGACACUGACGCUGAGGCGCGAAAGCCAGGGGAGCGAACGGG